RNAcentral lists this ribosomal RNA (575 nucleotides) under uncultured Pyronemataceae. Its description in RNAcentral is "eukaryotic LSU rRNA". The stretch from base 218 to 371 matches the Rfam family "5.8S ribosomal RNA". The record is from RNAcentral. Lineage: Eukaryota; Fungi; Ascomycota; Pezizomycetes; Pezizales; Pyronemataceae. RNAcentral also lists the same sequence under 1 other name.
AAGUCGUAACAAGGUUUCCGUAGGUGAACCUGCGGAAGGAUCAUUAUCAAAUGUAGAAUACCACAUUCUUCAACCCGUUCUGCGUACUUGUACUUGUUGCUUCCAUGGGCAGUGAACCGCGUGUUUGCGUUCGCCUUUGUGGCGGACCCAUGGGAGAUAUUCACAAACCCCACAUUUCGUCAUCAUAGUCUGAUACCCUUCAUUAUAUGAAUGUUAAAACUUUCAACAACGGAUCUCUUGGUUCUCGCAUCGAUGAAGAACGCAGCGAAAUGCGAUAAGUAGUGUGAAUUGCAGAAUUCCGUGAAUCAUCGAAUCUUUGAACGCACAUUGCGCCCCUCGGAAUUCCGGAGGGCAUGCCUGUUCGAGCGUCAUCAAAAACCCUCAAGCAUUGGAUUAUUCCACGAUAAGUCUUGGUGCUGGGUCUGGAGUGUACGUACGUACAUAUGUUUGUGUAUAAGUCAUUCCUGCCCGAAAAUCAAUGGCGAUUCUGUCAGCAUCAAAUCAGCGUGAUAAUUGCAUCGUGUAUGUUCCGCUGUGGUAAUGACAAUCAUCUGCCGUUAACCCCCCAACUACCU